This 72-nucleotide transfer RNA is filed under the name Diaphorina citri (Asian citrus psyllid). It matches the Rfam family "tRNA". From Rfam's summary of the family: Transfer RNA (tRNA) molecules are approximately 80 nucleotides in length. Their secondary structure includes four short double-helical elements and three loops (D, anti-codon, and T loops). Further hydrogen bonds mediate the characteristic L-shaped molecular structure. tRNAs have two regions of fundamental functional importance: the anti-codon, which is responsible for specific mRNA codon recognition, and the 3' end, to which the tRNAs corresponding amino acid is attached (by aminoacyl-tRNA synthetases). tRNAs cope with the degeneracy of the genetic code in two manners: having more than one tRNA (with a specific anti-codon) for a particular amino acid; and 'wobble' base-pairing, i.e. permitting non-standard base-pairing at the 3rd anti-codon position. Lineage: Eukaryota; Metazoa; Arthropoda; Insecta; Hemiptera; Psyllidae. The record is from Rfam by way of RNAcentral.
GCUCCCAUGGCGUAGUGGUCACUGCGCUCGCUUUGCACGCGGGAGACCCGGGUUUGAUUCCCGGCGGGGUCA